AUAGCCAAGUACAGCCAGAGCUCAAUCCUCUUGACUCAAAGUACUAAUAUGCAUAUAUUUUGAUGCAACUAUAAAGCCUAUUAAUUGGCUUUUAUUUCAAAGCCUUUAUCAAUACCCCUGCUUGUUCUUGCUGACUUUUAAUGAAAGGACCUUAAAAAUAAAUUUCAAAGUGAAAGGCAGGAGCUUCUGCUCAGUUCCUAAAAAUAGGCGAGAGUAUAACAUGUCUUGCCUCUGAAAGGUUUAAUUUCAUUUUUAACCUCUUUUUCGAAGCUGUGAGAUCUUCCUUGGGUCUACAAUUUGGCUCGGACCCCCGCAGUUGAUUUAGGAAAGAAUAAGAUAGAACUCCAUCACAGCUCCAUACCUUACCACCCCUUUUGUCAAGUGGUAUCAGGUUUGUAUACUCAUCUCAGCAAAAAGGCUCUGGGCUAUAAGAAAACAACAAUCAUUCUGCAUCGGAGAGAACAGAGGUGAGCGUGAACUUCUGUGGAAAUGAAAGACUAUGGAAAUCAAAUAGAGAUGGUAGGUAGAGAUGAAAAAAGGGCAACUUUCAGUAUCCUUUAAGGGCAUUAUCAGGUACAUGAUUAUGACAUAUCAUAAAUUGAGGAUUCCUGUAGUAAAUUUCCAUUUUCACCUCUGUGCACACUACACACUCUUCAACAUAUUGCCAGUAC
RNAcentral lists this long non-coding RNA (671 nucleotides) under Bos taurus (domestic cattle). Its description in RNAcentral is "long non-coding RNA NONBTAT011042". The record is from RNAcentral. Lineage: Eukaryota; Metazoa; Chordata; Mammalia; Artiodactyla; Bovidae.